Molecule: ribosomal RNA, 247 nt
Filed under: uncultured Actinomycetes bacterium
Lineage: Bacteria; Bacillati; Actinomycetota; Actinomycetes
Description: uncultured actinobacterium partial 16S ribosomal RNA
Rfam family: Bacterial small subunit ribosomal RNA
Source: RNAcentral
GACGAACGCUGGCGGCGUGCUUAACACAUGCAAGUCGAGCGGUAAGGCCCUUUCGGGGGUACACGAGCGGUGAACGGGUGAGUAACACGUGGGUGACCUGCCUUUAGCUCUGGGAUAAGCCUGGGAAACUGGGUCUAAUACCGGAUAUGACCUCAUGAUGCAUGUUGUGGGGUGGAAAGCCUUGUGCGGCUGGAGAUGGGCCCGCGGCCUAUCAGCUUGUUGGUGGGGUGAUGGCCUACCAAGGCGA